Molecule: ribosomal RNA, 499 nt
Filed under: uncultured Glomeromycotina
Lineage: Eukaryota; Fungi; Glomeromycota
Description: partial small subunit ribosomal RNA
Rfam family: Eukaryotic small subunit ribosomal RNA
Source: RNAcentral
CCAAUAGCGUAUAUUAAAGUUGUUGCAGUUAAAAAGCUCGUAGUUGAAUUUCGGGACCAAUAUGUCGGUCGUGCCUCGGUACGUACUGGCAUUGUUGGUUUUUCCCUUCUGAAGAACCAUGAUGUCAUUCAUUUGGUGUCGUGGGGAAUCAGGACUGUUACUUUGAAAAAAAUAGAGUGUUUAAAGCAGGCCCACGCUUGAAUACAUUAGCAUGGAAUAAUGAAAUAGGACGUUUGAUUCUAUUUUGUUGGUUUCUAGGAUCGACGUAAUGAUUAAUAGGGAUAGUUGGGGGCAUUAGUAUUCAAUUGUCAGAGGUGAAAUUCUUGGAUUUAUUGAAGACUAACUACUGCGAAAGCAUUUGCCAAGGAUGUUUUCAUUAAUCAAGAACGAAAGUUAGGGGAUCGAAGACGAUCAGAUACCGUCGUAGUCUUAACCAUAAACUAUGCCGACUAGGGAUCGGAUGAUGUUAAUUUUUUAAUGACUCAUUCGGCGCCUUACG